UAAUCAUCAAUUAAAGAAACAUAGUACUUCAAUACCUCCAUAUUUAUGUUUGUUAAAGUGUAGUGUAUAUGCGUCUGGAGACCUCAUAUAUCGUCCUUAAUUAAGUAAGGAGUAAACAAAGACCAACAGACGAGCGAGACGCAGCCGGGAUGCUGGCAGAAGUGGGUUUGAUGGUCG
This is a long non-coding RNA of Aethina tumida (small hive beetle), 177 nucleotides long. RefSeq lists it as uncharacterized. The transcript is spliced from 3 exons. NCBI's taxonomy places the organism in Eukaryota, Metazoa, Arthropoda, Insecta, Coleoptera, Nitidulidae. The record is from RefSeq and is a predicted model, not a curated record.